UUGAAUGGCUCAGUGAGGCGUUCGGACUGGCCCAGAGAGGUGGGCAACUACCACUCAGGGCCGGAAAGUUCUCCAAACUCGGUCAUUUAGAGGAAGUAAAAGUCGUAACAAGGUCUCCGUUGGUGAACCAGCGGAGGGAUCAUUA
Molecule: ribosomal RNA, 145 nt
Filed under: Fusarium sp. 19001
Lineage: Eukaryota; Fungi; Ascomycota; Sordariomycetes; Hypocreales; Nectriaceae
Description: partial 18S ribosomal RNA
Rfam family: Eukaryotic small subunit ribosomal RNA
Source: RNAcentral